RNAcentral lists this long non-coding RNA (4007 nucleotides) under Equus caballus (horse). RNAcentral's name for it is "lncRNA (ENSECAG00000038188.2)". Lineage: Eukaryota; Metazoa; Chordata; Mammalia; Perissodactyla; Equidae. The record is from RNAcentral.
CGUGCUGAUCAUGUUGUAGUCUCAUUAUUUGAGUCCAGGUCUGCCCUCCGUCUCCACUCCCCAUUCCUUGAUGGAAUUUGUGCGUAUGUGUACCCCGGCCCACAGCAUGGAGCGGGCGGUAGGUUGAGCCCUUCCUACAUGCCACGGCUAACACUGAAUGCUUUAAGACAUGCCAGGUCUUAUUCUGAGCGUGUUACCUGAAAACACUCCUAAAAUCCUGCUGACAAACUUAUGAGGCAGGUACUGUCAUAUUCCCCAUUUUGUAGAUGAGAAAACAGGGGUACACAGAGAUAUUAGGUCCCUGACCAAGGUCGCAUACCAGUAAGGGAUAUGGCUGGAUUCUCACCAAGGCAUCUGUCAACAAAGCCUGGCCUCUCCACUCCAUAGCCUUAUGCCUCUCUCAAUGUGCACUGGAUCACUCAGUGACAGAGUGCUUGUUCUUAAGGAAACGAUAAUCUGGUUGAGCUGAUGAGCUGCACAGCACACACAGGAUACACCUGGGUAAUGAAGGACGGCAUAUGAUUAAGAACUAAGGCAUGGCACAGAUGAUAGGUGCUGUAAGCGUCUAAGGUGGCAGCUCUUGAUGGAUGUUAGCGUGCUAACCAGGGAAGACUUCCUGGAGAAGAUGUGACUGUUUUUGAGAUUUGAAGGCUGUAAAGGCCUUUAGGUGGUAAAGAGGUGCGAGUUAUUUCCAUUGUGAGGAGGGUGAAGAAGUGGGGAAUAGAGUUCACCUGGCAGGAUAGGCAAUCCCGGGCAAAGGAAUGGUAGGAGAGGUUAUCUAGAUAGGUGGGGGCCUUGAAAGCCGCCUGAGAAAUAUAAAUACAACCCAAAGGAAAAAUAUGGUUAUUUGGUUUAGUGUGUGGCUUAGAAAAUCGUCUUCUUUGAGUGUGUUCAACAUUCUAGAAAAUGGAACGUGGUCAGAAGAAGGGCCUUGCUGUUUCAGCACAGCAGAGAGCUACAACAUCCCCCUCCCUUUGCAAUGCAACAGCUGGGCCCACGUCCUUCCUGGGACUUCUGGGAAUGGAGAAGCUGCUACAGCCUGAGGUCAGCAAAGUCUUAGGAUCAGGAGGACAUGAGCGGCAGUUUAUCUGUAUUUAACAGGGGCUGGUGUCUGAGUUUACCUGGCUGGCAGUCCUGGAUACCGGCGACUACAUCAACACACGAGUUUCUUGGAUUAAGAAUUCAGCCUCCCAUGUUAAGAUCCAGAGAAUCCAGCUAAAUUCAGUGAUUCUUCCCCGAGCUCCCCACAAAAGGUGGGCGUGGAGGAGGAAAAGCAGUCAAUGAGGAGCCAGACAGAAGCCUGGAGUGUUGCACUCAUGGCCGUUCCUCCUGAUAGGAACCGGAGUAAGUCAUGGAGGCCAAGAUGUUGCCUUUCCAGCCACCAUCGAGAAUAAAGGCUUUCUGUUUUCCUGACCUGCCAUCUCACCCUUCCCUUCCACCCUGAGGUUAUUCAAGGAAUACGGACUUUGACCCACACGCUUUUGAAGGCUGCAACACCAGAGAAGAGAAGGGAGUCCAGAACUGACCUGGGAGUGUGGAGAUCCAGAUUUAGAACUCAGCUCAGCUCCUCAUGAAGUGUGAUCAUGGGAAGAUCCUUUACCCUCAAUUCGUCUAAGGUUUCCCCAUCCUAGAAAUGGUUCUCACUGCCCCCUAUUCUUUUCUUUCACAACACUUAUCUCAAUUGUCAUCAUCUCAGGUCUGAUUCCUGCUCUAGGGUUGGUGGGUAAGGGCACAGAUGGGCUCUGGAGCUACCCUGCCUGGCUUCCAGCCCUGGCUCCACCACUUGCUAACUUAUUAAAGUUAUUUAGUCGCUUUGUGCUUCAGUUUCCUCAUCUGUACAAUGAGGAUAAUGAUAGAAGCUAUCUCAGAAGUAGGAUAAGUGAGUUAAUAGGUGUAGAACACUUACACCAGUGCCUGGCACGUAUUAAGCACUAUCUGCAUACUUGUUCUAUGAUCUGCUCAUCUGUCUCCUUCACCACUCUAUCCUGAGGGUGAAUUGUCUUCUUGAUUGGAUUCCUGCCUUUCUUUCCAAUUUUAUCUCUUGCUACUCUGCCAUCAGCACUAAACUAUUUGCAUUUCUAACCAAGUUUCCUGAAGUUUCCAUGACCUUGUACAGAAUUCCCCUUGGAAUAUAUUUUCCUUCACAGUUUCCAAACAACAAUGUGAUAAGAAAAAUACCAAAAGUGAAAAAGGGACUGAGAAUGGGAAACAUUCUCUCAGUUUUCUUUAGAAAAAGAGGUGAUUGAAUGCAAAGGGUAGUGAACAGACUGCACGAUGUAAACAGUAAGACUCCCACUCAUUAAUUUUCAUGACCCUCUGAGGGUAGAGACUUAGUUCACUCAAGCAUACCAGUGGUUGUCCUGGGAUUAGUGAUGACCAGCAUGAAGCAAGUGCCACCAUGUCCAACUACUCAUUUUAGACUACCCAGGGAUGCUCCAUGGAGUCCCGGGGACACAUUCCCUAACAUCUUAGGAGAGCUGAAAGCUUUUCCCCUUUGUCUUCCCACUGGACUCCAUCUAUUUUUCCUCCAUUGUGUGCUGUGUAAAUCCAGGUUUAAGGUUUUAAAUGUUUUGUGGUGUUGUCACAGUUUUUCCCUCUGACUCACUUUUGAGCUUUGAGGGGACAGGGGUCAUGUGUUAGUCAUCCCUAUAUGCUGACAUGCAGGCACAGUUGAUAUCUGAUGGCUUGGCACGUGGUUUUAAAACUCUCUUAUUCCUUGGUUUUGCAGACACCAAACCCUUCCAGUUAUCUUCUAAAUUCUCUGAUCCUUCCUUUUACCUUUCUUGGCUGGCUCCUCUUUCUUUGCUCAGUCCUUUGGUGGUCCCUAGGCUCGUCUUUCUUCUCUUCUUAUUCUUCAUGCUCACCUGGGUGUUCUCACCCGAUCCCACGGCUUCAACCGCUCCCUGUGAUCAGGUGUCCCCACGAUCUGUCUGUGUCUCCUGACCUGAUCUCAUCCUUCAAUCCAACCACUGGCCAGACAUCUUUACUUGGAUAGUUCUCAGUUAGUCUACUUCUAAAACAGAACACAACCCACCUUGUCAUCUAAAAGUGCUCUUAUAAAUCUCCUUUUGGGUAAAUACGUCAGCUGGAAGAUUUGGACUUCAUCUUCCUUUCCUCCCACAUCUAAGCAGUCUUUAAACACUGAAAAUGCAGGAUUUAUAUUUCACAUUUUUGAUGCCUCCUCAAAAUCUCCAUUGUCAUUGCUUUAGUUCCUGUCUUCAUCAUCUCUAGAUUGACUUACAGAAACAGCUUCCUAACUCCCUUAUAACAGUGACAUUUUAGAAGAGUAUGAGCCAGAUGUUUUUCAGACUGUUCCUCAAUUUGAGUUUCCCUAUGUUUAGAGUCAAGUUACACAUUUCUGGCAUAAUACAUAAGUAAUGUGUCCUUCCUUCUCAGUGCGUCGCAUCAGAAGGCACAUGGUGUCUCUUUGUAAUUAAUAAGUAAUUUGUGGGAAGAUAUUUUGAGACCAUCUAAAUAUCCUAUUUCCUCAUCAAAUUUUCACCAAGCAGUUUUAUUAUCCAUUGAUGAUUCUUGCCCAAAUCAAUUAUUACUAUGAUAAUUUCAAAAUGGUAACUUUCUAACUGUUAUUUCCUCUACAUUUUUUUGUUGACAUUUUACUUUAAUUCAAUAAUAUAUUUACUAACAGUAUAGACUCAUGAAUCCUUAUUUUAUUCAGUGAUGUAUAAUCUGUAGUGUUAUUAUUUAUUUUGAUGUUUAAAUUAUCCUAGAUAUGGCUGGUGGGAGCCCCUUCAAGCUGGCUCCUGUGUCCUUUUGAGAUGUUCUCACAAUUUCUUAUGCAUGUCUUUAUUUCUAGCAUAAGGAGACGUUCUAUCACCUCCCUUUUUGAGGAAUAUUUUUACUGGCUAUAAAAUUAUAGGUUGGUAGUCACUUUCUUUCAGUAUUUUCAUGAUGUCUUUCCAUUGUCCUCUGAUAUCCGUUGUUUUUUGUUGAUAAACCAGCCUUAAGGCAAUAUGUAUCACCCACAGCCCCGACUGCUUUUAAGAUUU